This 323-nucleotide long non-coding RNA is filed under the name Ananas comosus (pineapple). RNAcentral describes it as "long non-coding RNA (ACOM_LNC007598)". Lineage: Eukaryota; Viridiplantae; Streptophyta; Magnoliopsida; Poales; Bromeliaceae. The record is from RNAcentral.
GCAAAAAAAAAAAAAAAAAAAAACAAAAGAUAAAAAUUUUACCAAAAAACUAAAACUAAAUUGUAAAAAACUCUCUUAUAAAUAUUUUUUUUAAUUACUUUCUAUUCCUAACUUUCAAAAAAUCUAUAUUUACUUCCUCAACAUUUUAGUUGAUGAAUUUAGGCCCUCUCUUUCAGGGUUCUAUUAUUAUUUUUCCAUCUAUUUCUUAUAAUUUACUUCCUCAAAAAUGAAUAAGUAAAUAUUUAUAGAAGAAUUUUCUGUAAUUUGACCAAAGACUAAACAAUUUUAUUUUUUAGAGAAUAAAAAAUAUAAAUACAAUUUCU